CAAGAUUAGCCAGGAUAACAAAUCCAUGAGCUUUUUAUUUGGAGCAAAAGAUUAUUUGCACCUAGCGCCCUUCCCCAUACAUAUAGCAAAGAUGGGAGUGAGUUGGGACUAAGCAGCCCAAAUUAUCAUUCUCCUAAUUAUACCCCAUUCCCUGACCUACCCCCUACGCCAGACAUCAGAUAAGACCCACAUUUUUUUUAAAGAAGUGAGUAAAAAAUAUCCCAUGCUUGAUUUGUGUUCUCUAUUAUGUUUAGGUCCUUCCAGACAAACUCUAGGAACAAGAACUUCCUGUGUUGACCAAGGACAAUAGUAUGGAAGAACCAAUUAAUGCAAAUGGCAUUGAGACAAAAUGAUAGAAAUCAUGCAUUCACUGGGCUCAACAUUCUAAGCAUCCCAGCUUCUGGAGAUUUGUCAGUAUUGACUAUCUGACUUUAAUACUGAACUAAAAUGAAAGAGAAGAAAGAAGAAAUUAAUUGAAAGAAAUUAUUCCAAGGAAACACAGAAAAGUGGACCACCAUGUUUGGAGGAAUGUCAUUGACAGUAAAUACAACAUGACAUAGGAAACAGGAAGUCUUAAAAUAAGCUAGGCGCAAAUUCAAACACGAGGAUGUAGGCCAAAAAACUUAAAUAAGCUAAUAAAAAAUACAAAGAAGAGGAAGUAAACCAGAAAACUUCAAGCAAGGGGAAAAUACAUACACGAGAAAGUAAACGAGCAAGCUUAAAUAAGCUAGGCACAAAUACAAACACGGAGAUGUAAACCAGAAAACUUAAACAAGCUAAGCGCAAAUACAAACACGAGCAAGUAAACCAGAAAACUUAAAUAAGCUAAGCACAAAAUACAAAAACAAGGAUGUAAACUAGAAAACUCAAAAAAGCUAUGCGCAAAUACAAACACGAAGAAGUAAACCAGAAAACUUAGAUAAGCUAGGGGCAAAUACAAACACGAGGAUGUAAACCAGAACUUAAAUAAGCUAAGCGCAAAAUACAAACACGAGGAUAUAAAACACAGAAAACUUAAAUAAGCUAUUCACAAAUACAAACACGAAGAAGUAAACGAGAAAACUUAAAUAAGCUAGGUGCAAAUACAAACAUGAGGAAGUAGACCAGAAAACUUAAAUAAGUUAGGUGCAAAUGCAAACACAAGGAAGUAAACGAGAAAACUUAAAUAAGCUAGGUGCAAAUACAAACAUGAGGAAGUAGACCAGAAAACUUAAAUAAGUUAGGUGCAAAUGCAAACACAAGGAAGUAAACGAGAAAACUUAAAUAAGCUAGGUGCAAAUACAAACAUGAGGAAGUAGACCAGAAAACUUAAAUAAGUUAGGUGCAAAUGCAAACACAAGGAAGUAAACGAGAAAACUUAAAUAAGCUAGGUGCAAAUACAAACAUGAGGAAGUAGACCAGAAAACUUAAAUAAGUUAGGUGCAAAUACAAACACAAGGAAGUAAACCAGAAAACUUAAAUAAGCUAGGCUCUGUUAUUGACUUAUGACUUAUAGUACAGGAUUUGGAGGGAAUAUUUAAUAGUCCGGAGGUAAUUUCAAACACAUUGCAUAUACAAUGGCACCAACAGAAUUAGCUUUGAUCUGAAAAUUAGUGUAGAAAGUUGCCCAAUCUCAAGUUCCUUUUCUUUUUAAUAACCAUGGUAUCGCGAUCAGCUUGCGUGCACCUAGACUAAUUCCACGGGAUACCUAUCACCUCCCACCCACAACAAGUACAGGUAACUCUGUCCAUUAAGGCUAGGACAUGAAAGAAACCACCUAAUGUUAUUUGUCUCUACUGGGGUUUAAACAUGAAAUCUCAUAGUUCUCAACCACUUCAUUAACACAGAAAAUAUUAACAAGUCUAUCAGCAGCUGUUUUCAGUUGUCAGUCACAAAAUGGCCUGGAUCUCACAUUUACACAGGAAAUAUAGCGCACAUACUCAACAAUAUAUUGCAUAACAAAACUGUAUGACUUUCCCCUAACACACGAAGCUUAGGAGAUGAAAUCAAUUCAACCAAUUGACAACCUAUUUACAUAAAAUACAGCUCAACCUUAUCAAUUCUUCUAUCAAAGAGCUAAUAGAAAUUGAGUCAACACCAAAAUUGAACAAUAUAAAUGCCGAAUUGCUAAAAAAAAAAAAUGAGCAGAGAGAGAAAAGGAUUCUAACUGGCGACAGUUUUGAGAGAUUCGUCAACGGCAGAGACAAUAGCGAAUUUACGGAGCUUGCAGAGAAUGUCGCUAAUCUUCUCCCGGCCAUCCGGGUAAAAAACGUACUCAUCGGAUUGAGUUCCGUCAUACUUGACCGGGCUGCUGGUUUUGGUCACCGGCGAUGAAACCCCACCACUGUACUCACCUUCUGAAGCAUAUGCAUCUGACGGUUUCUCUUGUCCUCUCCGGUUGAAAAGUUUCCCGGCGACUGCUCGGAAUUGUUGUAUAAUGCCCAUUACCUGUUAUCCACAAGAAAAUUUGCUGCUAUUUCGUCCCCUCUUUACCUAAUAUAUGAAAAAGACUAUUUUUCCAUAUUUAUCCGUCUGACGUUUCAAUAGAUGUUUCAGCCCGUUAUUUAUUUGACAUUAAUUUAGCCAUCGUUUGAUAGAGUGUAUUAAAAAAAAAAACAACGUAUUUGUAUCAUUUAAACUUAGAAAUAAUGCAUAAAGUCUAUCUAAACCAAUAUUAUUUUACAAAUUUCAUAUUUAAACUUUCAAAUAUUUUUAUUACCUCCUAAAUUAUAAUUUUUAAACUUCACCCCUGGAAGAAUAUUGCUUAAUGUGUCUAGUAAUAAAUUAGUUCAAAAUAAAAACCAAAAACAAAAAAUAGAUAGGGAUCAAUUGUUGACACGUGAGUUGUGUAAAAAAAAAAACCUUAUUUUUAUAAGGUAGAAUUAUUUAUUUAUUAAAAACAACUUCAUAUUCAAAAAUUGAAUUCAAAUUUUUUAAUUAAAAAUAAAAUAAUACACAUUAUUCCGCCACAACUUUUAGUGGUAAACCAAAAAAUCACUCAUUAUUCUUUUACCUAAUUAAAAAAAUUAGGGGAAAAAAUGUAGUUCAACCAUAUUGUCAUGCUACUUUACUGAAAUGUACUAAAGUAAAAUAUUCUGUCAUAAGCUCUAAUUUUAUUUUAUUUUUGGUGAGUACAAAAUUGCAAAUGCCAAUUCUUGCCAUUUGUGUUAAACUCAAGCAAAUCGAGUCAAUUUUAUUUAUUUAUUUAUUUAUUUAUUUAUUUUCAGAGUUAUCUUUUGUGACAUAUGGAGAGAAAGUGGCAAAAACUAUAUGUUUUGAAGGUAGUUUAAAAAAAAUGAGAGGAAACGAGAUUUCUUUGUUUUCUUAUAUAAUUUAAAUAGAGAAACAUAAUUUUUUAAAGAUUUUUUUACGUGGAAAGAUGAAAAUCUCUUAUAUGUAAAAAUUAAAAAAUAUUUCCACAGUUCGAUAAAUAUUUGACGAAGACUUAAAAUACUAACCAAAAAUUGCUCAAUGCAUAUUUAAGGAAUUAUUGUUAACCUGACCAUCAAAAUUGUCACAUCCAAUCCUAUACCUCAAAGUGAAAUAUAAUAUGAUCGUAGCAAUAAUAAACCUAACAAAAAGUUGAGGUUGACCCCAAGAGGAGUAUGUGUGUGUCAAGGCAUUUGAGAGUGUGAAUUUUCUAAACUAAUUUCAAACAAGGGAAUGAUCGAAUAAUUACUUUUAAAACUAGACUAUUUUAAUAAGCUACGACUCAGACACUAAUGAAUUUAUUUUCAAUUAUAAAAGAACUUGAAAUUGUAGCCUCAAUAUGACAUACCUAAUUCAUGAGCACAAGUAUCUUGCUCAAAUACAUCUUUUCCAUCUGCAAAUGUUUAAGAAGUCAUCUCCUGAUUCGUUGAUCUAUAGAUCAAGCUUAGGCAGGUUUGCAUAUAGUGUUUUAGACGGAAGGAUUAAUAAUAAAAAAUAAUUGUAUUGAUAAUUACUUCUUGGAGUUUAUCAACUUUAUCAAGCUAAUUUCCAAAAGUUCUUCACGUUGGGUUCUAGUGUUGAAAAUGAAUAGAAAAUGGAGGGAAUGUGAAAAAAUAACUUCACUUAUUGAAAGAGUCUUUCUCUCACAUUGAUAGGAUAAAGGAACUUUCAAGUGUUUAAAUAUCGAACCACUUCUUCAUGUUGUUAAUUAAGGGUCGAGAAGAAGACAAGCCUCACACUUAAGUGUGUAAGGCCUAGAGAUGUUGGGGAUAUUAUUUGCUUUGAGCUUACGCCUGCACGACUUCUUGUCUUAAGUUGAGGUAUCACACAACCCCAGCUAUAAAUGAAACUAAUAUUGUUUUUGGAAUUUGAAAUGCAUACUUUAGUUUUUAUGUGUCUGGUAGUGCAAAUUCUCAGAGUUUCAGACUCCAGAAAGCAUUAAUAAUGUCCAAACAUCAGGCAAUGUGGUUAAGCACAUCAUAAUACCAGUUUAAUACUUCUAUAUGAUCAUAUAAUACAUGUAUUACAGAGUUAUAACACAAAUCACAAGAAAAUUACAGAAGCACAACCUAUAUUGUCAAGAAAGAUGAAAGUGUAGCUUCCUCAUUGCCAUGAUUUUACUGUUUUCUACAUUCGAGAACGAAUUAAAACAUUUUUUGGUUUAGAUUUUGUAGGCGUUGAACUCUUGAUAGGCUCGUCAGAGAAUUCGAAGGAAUCUAAUCCGUUGGUACACUUAGCUGACGCCUCAUUUUGCUGCUUCAUGUUGUUCAUGUCAUCCUGAAGUUUCUCCAUCUUUGCUUGCAUCUCCUCCCUCAUAACAGUAAAAUCUUGUUUGUCAAGUCUAGGACGUGAAGGCAAUUUAUCCUUCGAUCUUUCCUUAACGAUUUUACUCCCACCUGCAGAAACAAUUGAAAUCCAAUUAGUAUAUCAAUCCAAAAGGCUAAGAUUAUAAUCUCGACUUGAGAAAAGUAUCAAGUAGAGCUAGUUCCAAGGACGAAUGGGUCAACAUAUAGCUGUUUGCAUUAUCCAAAAUCCCAAACAACUGGUCAAUACUGAAAGGACCUCAACAAAUCAACGGAGGGGUGACACCAUUUUGGUUGUAGACAGGAUUGGGUGGGACUAUAAUAACAUUAAGGAUGGAAGUGCUGAUGUGACCAGGAAUCCUGGAGGACGUUGGAAAAACAAGUAUCACAUGAAUUGUGCAUGAGCUUAACGGCAUAACCGUAAUAAGCAUUCCAAUCUUGUGACUAUCAUAUCCUAAAUCAGUCAUAACAUUAGAUUACAAAACUUUAAACAAAGUGUGAUCAAAAUUCAAAGGGAAGGGAGCCUGUGCUGGAUGGGGUAUAGAGUAAGAUGUUUCUCAAGAUUAGCCAGGAUAACAAAUCCACGAGCUUUUUAUUUGGAGCAAAAGAUUAUUUGCACCUAGCGCCCUUCCCCAUACAUAUACCAAAGAUGGGAGUGAGUUGGGACUAAGCAGCCCAAAUUAUCAUUCUCCUAAUCAUACCCCAUUCCCUGACCUACCCCUUACCCCAGACAUCAGAUAAGACCCACAUUUUUUUAAAGAAGUGAGUAAAAUAUAUCCCAUGCUCGAUUCGUGUUCUCUAUUAUGUUUAGGUCCUUCCAGACAAACUCUAGGAACAAGAACUUCUUGUGUUGACCAAGGACAAUAAGUUUGGAAGAACCAAUUACUGCAAAUGACAUUGAGAUAAAAUGAUAGAAAUCAUGCAUUCACUGGGUUCAAAAUUAUUCUAAGCAUCCCAGCUUCUGGUGGUUUGUCAGUAUUGAUUAUCCGACUUUAAUGCUGGACUAAAAUGAAAGAGAAAAAAGAAGAAAUUAAUUGAAAGAAAUUAUUCCAAGGAAACAUAGAAAAGUGGACCACCCUAUUUGGAGGAAUGUCAUUGACAGUAAAUACAACAUGACAUAAGAAACAGGAAGUCUUAAAAUAAGCUAGGCGCAAAUUCAAACACGAGGAUGUAAGCCAAAAAACUUAAAUAAGCUAAGCGAAAAUACAAAGAAGAGGAAGCAAACCAGGAAAAUACAUACACGAGAAAGUAAACGAGCAAGCUUAAAUAAGCUAGGCACAAAUACAAACACGGAGAUGUAAACCAGAAAACUUAAACAAGCUAAGCGCAAAUACAAACACGAGCAAGUAAACCAGAAAACUUAAAUAAGCUAAGCACAAAAUACAAAAACAAGGAUGUAAACCAGAAAACUUAAAUAAGCUAAGCGCAAAUAUGUAAACUAGAAAACUCAAAUAAGCUAUGCGCAAAUACAAACACGAAGAAGUAAACCAGAAAACUUAGAUAAGCUAGGGGCAAAUACAAACACGAGGAUGUAAACCAGAAAACUUAAAUAAGCUAAGCGCAAAAUACAAACACGAGGAUAUAAAAAACAGAAAACUUAAAUAAGCUAUUCACAAAUACAAACACGAAGAAGUAAACGAGAAAACUUAAAUAAGCUAGGUGCAAAUACAAACAUGAGGAAGUAGACCAGAAAACUUAAAUAAGUUAGGU
This 6422-nucleotide long non-coding RNA is filed under the name Solanum tuberosum (potato). Its description in RNAcentral is "long non-coding RNA (STUB_LNC011087)". The record is from RNAcentral. Lineage: Eukaryota; Viridiplantae; Streptophyta; Magnoliopsida; Solanales; Solanaceae.